Molecule: ribosomal RNA, 468 nt
Filed under: uncultured bacterium
Lineage: Bacteria
Description: partial 16S ribosomal RNA
Rfam family: Bacterial small subunit ribosomal RNA
Source: RNAcentral
GACGAACGCUGGCGGCGUGCUUAACACAUGCAAGUCGAACGGAAAGGCCCUGCUUUUGUGGGGUGCUCGAGUGGCGAACGGGUGAGUAACACGUGAGUAACCUGCCCUUGACUUUGGGAUAACUUCAGGAAACUGGGGCUAAUACCGGAUAGGAGCUCCUGCUGCAUGGUGGGGGUUGGAAAGUUUCGGCGGUUGGGGAUGGACUCGCGGCUUAUCGGCUUGUUGGUGGGGUAGUGGCUUACCAAGGCUUUGACGGGUAGCCGGCCUGAGAGGGUGACCGGCCACAUUGGGACUGAGAUACGGCCCAGACUCCUACGGGAGGCAGCAGUGGGGAAUAUUGCACAAUGGGCAGAAGCCUGAUGCAGCAACGCCGCGUGCGGGAUGACGGCCUUCGGGUUGUAAACCGCUUUCGCCUGUGACGAAGCGUGAGUGACGGUAAUGGGUAAAGAAGCACCGGCUAACUACGUG